This 519-nucleotide ribosomal RNA is filed under the name uncultured eukaryote. Its description in RNAcentral is "SSU rRNA". It matches the Rfam family "Eukaryotic small subunit ribosomal RNA", at positions 1161 to 1704 of the family's 1831-position model. The record is from RNAcentral.
AGGGCACCACCAGGAGUGGAGCCUGCGGCUUAAUUUGACUCAACACGGGGAAACUCACCCGGCCCGGACACCGGAAGGAUUGACAGAUUGAUAGCUCUUUCUUGAUUCGGUGGAUGGUGGUGCAUGGCCGUUCUUAGUUGGUGGAGCGAUCUGUCUGGUUAAUUCCGAUAACGAACGAGACUCUAGCCUAUUAAAUAGACGUCGGGUUCUCUGCACUCGACGGUCUUCUUAGAGGGACAAGGUGCUUUUAGCACCGCGAAACAGAGCAAUAACAGGUCUGUGAUGCCCUUAGAUGUCCGGGGCCGCACGCGCGCUACACUGAAGGAAGCAGCGUGUAACAACCUUGUCCUAACGAACUGGGUAACCCGUGGAACUUCCUUCAUGAUUGGGAUAGGGGUUUGCAAUUGUGCCCCUUGAACGAGGAAUUCCCAGUAAACACUAGUCAUCAGCUAGUGCUGAUUACGUCCCUGCCCUUUGUACACACCGCCCGUCGCUACUACCGAUUGAAUGGUUUAGUGA